UCCACAGAGUGUGGUGUGAGACAGUGACAAGUCUCACGCAGGGUAGAGGCAAGGAAGGGGUGGAUAGUUCGGUCCACACCCCUAUUCCACCACAGACGAGACCAGCUGGAAGUAGCCAGUCUGGCACAAAGCACCUCUCAGGGUGUCAGCAAGGGGGGAGUAAUGUUGCCUGUGGACAGAGGCCUGGAGGCUUUGUGUGGUCCAAGCCAGGAAGACUGAGAAACCACUAUUCCCCAUGUGUGCUGAGACACUGGACUGGAGACAGU
Molecule: long non-coding RNA, 266 nt
Organism: Bufo bufo (common toad)
Lineage: Eukaryota; Metazoa; Chordata; Amphibia; Anura; Bufonidae
Exons: 3
Source: RefSeq, a predicted model, not a curated record